GGAAGGUCCAUCUUAAUAAGGAAAUUUAAUUCCAGGUUUUGAUCCUUCUGGGCCUCGCUGCCAUUGCUGCUGCUGACAGCCGUGAAUCCUAUGAAUAUCAGCCUCCAAGGUUUUCUUCUGAGGAGUCUGCUGAGUCUUACGAGUCUUCCGAAGCCAAGUACAACUUCAACUGGGCCGUCAGCGAUGACUCCUCAAGCAACGAGUUCGGACACCAGGAGGCCCGUGACGGCGACCACACCCAGGGAUCCUACUACGUGCAGCUCCCCGACGGCCGCCUGCAGACCGUCAAGUACUUCGUGGACGGCGACUCCGGCUACGUGGCCGAGGUCAACUACGAGGGCGAGGCUCGUUACCCUGACUCCUUCGAAUCCUUUGAGUCUCAAUCCGUAGAAUCAGCUGAGUCUCGCGAAUACAGACCUCCCAGGCCACAGUACGUCUAUGACUCCAACGAGUCCAAGUAAAUCCUUCAGAAUGUCCUCUUCGACACGACUCUGCAAUGCCCUUUAUUUAUGUAUUUAUACCAUUAAAUGUGCAUAACUC
RNAcentral lists this long non-coding RNA (540 nucleotides) under Penaeus japonicus. Its description in RNAcentral is "uncharacterized LOC122245085". The record is from RNAcentral. Lineage: Eukaryota; Metazoa; Arthropoda; Malacostraca; Decapoda; Penaeidae.